GGGGGGACCGGCACCCGUACCCAGCGUUCGCCGGGUGCGAAAAUCAGGCAAGGCGGGAGGCUCUGCACGGUGCUAGGCCUCGACACCCAACACGCCACUCUGAGGGCGAAUGAACCGGCAACCUCUGGCAUGGAAGUCCAGUGAGCUGACCAUCACACCAUGGCAGCAUCAGUGCGGACGAAGUUUACCGCGUGCACGGAGGUGGGCAGAAGCGCCGCUGCUGAAGAUGAAUCGGUGUCCAGCUGACGUUAAAUCCAUGUAAGGAAGUUGAGAGCUCUGACAUUGGUUUUUCUACAUUGCUCUUACCAGGUGUGGCAAAUUUCGGUAAUUGAAGACUGCACACCAGCCAUCGUUUUCACCUUAACUCAAUCGUUCGCACCUGGCAUGAGCUAUGUACAAACCCCGUGUUCCAUCGCCUUCCAUGUGCUUUUCUGGAGUUUAGAGCCGCCCUCGGAGAGGAAGGAACAUGACGAAUUCUAACCGAUAUUAAC
This is a long non-coding RNA of Lethenteron reissneri (Far Eastern brook lamprey), 491 nucleotides long. RefSeq lists it as uncharacterized. The record is from RefSeq and is a predicted model, not a curated record. NCBI's taxonomy places the organism in Eukaryota, Metazoa, Chordata, Hyperoartia, Petromyzontiformes, Petromyzontidae.